This 406-nucleotide long non-coding RNA is filed under the name Homo sapiens (human). Its description in RNAcentral is "HSALNT0330385". The record is from RNAcentral. Lineage: Eukaryota; Metazoa; Chordata; Mammalia; Primates; Hominidae.
CGCCGUGGCAACCCUCCUUGGUCCCUGUCUGUUCUGUGGAAGCUUUGUUCUUUCACUCUUUCUUGCAUCUUCAGAAAGAAGUAUUAAAACUUUCCUAGCGUGUUAAAUUCUGCUACCUCACCAACGACAACUUGGACCUUGACCUCCAAUGUGUGUUCGACCAAAUUCCCUUCGUAGAGGCUGGGAAGAGAGGUAUAUCGCUUUCAGCUCAGAGGCUUACGUUGAAAGAGGAAGUUUGGAGAUAAAUGCUCUUUUUCUCUUCAUGUCAGUCUGGGAUGUGGAAGCAGAGAAUGUGUCUGUUUUGCUCACCAUCACAUCUGCGGAGCCUAGCCCAAUGCCUGGCAUGGAGUCAGGAUGCAAUCAUAAUUUGCCACAUGGAGGAAUAAAUGGUUGGCUUGUCCCGUGA